CGACCGCCCAUUCCCCGCGCGGGGACGGGCCAAGGCCAGACGGACAGCCGGGUCGAAUGCCGA
This 63-nucleotide non-coding RNA is filed under the name unclassified sequences. The record is from Rfam.